Molecule: ribosomal RNA, 459 nt
Filed under: uncultured bacterium
Lineage: Bacteria
Description: bacterial SSU rRNA
Rfam family: Bacterial small subunit ribosomal RNA
Source: RNAcentral
AUUGAACGCUGGCGGAAUGCUUUACACAUGCAAGUCGAACGGCAGCACGGGGCAACCUGGUGGCGAGUGGCGAACGGGUGAGUAACGCGUGGGUAACCUGCCCUUUGCAGGGGGAUAACAGUGAGAAAUCACUGCUAAUACCGCAUACCAACUUCUUUCGCAUGAAGGAAGUUUGAAAGAUUUAUCGGCAAAGGAUGGACCCGCGUUGGAUUAGCUAGUUGGUGAGAUAACAGCCCACCAAGGCAACGAUCCAUAGCCGGCCUGAGAGGGUGAACGGCCACACUGGGACUGAGACACGGCCCAGACUCCUACGGGAGGCAGCAGUGGGGAAUAUUGGACAAUGGGCGCAAGCCUGAUCCAGCAAUGCCGCGUGGAUGAAGAAGGUCUUCGGAUUGUAAAGUCCUUUCGACGGGGACGAUGAUGACGGUACCCGUAGAAGAAGCCCCGGCUAACUUCGUG